GGAUCCAGACUUUGAUUAUGGCUCAGGAUGAACGCUAGCUACAGGCUUAACACAUGCAAGUCGAGGGGAAACGAUAGAGAAAGCUUGCUUUUUCUAGGCGUCGACCGGCGCACGGGUGAGUAACGCGUAUCCAACCUGCCCACCACUUGGGGAUAACCUUGCGAAAGUAAGACUAAUACCCAAUGAUAUCUCAAGAAGACAUCUGAAAGAGAUUAAAGAUUUAUCGGUGAUGGAUGGGGAUGCGUCUGAUUAGCUUGUUGGCGGGGUAACGGCCCACCAAGGCGACGAUCAGUAGGGGUUCUGAGAGGAAGGUCCCCAACAUUGGAACUGAGACACGGUCCAAACUCCUACGGGAGGCAGCAGUGAGGAAUAUUGGUCAAUGGGCGAGAGCCUGAACCAGCCAAGUAGCGUGCAGGAUGACGGCCCUAUGGGUUGUAAACUGCUUUUAUAAGGGAAUAAAGUGAGCCUCGUGAGGCUUUUUGCAUGUACCUUAUGAAUAAGGACCGGCUAAUUCCGUGCCAGCAGCCGCGGUAAUACGGAAGGUCCGGGCGUUAUCCGGAUUUAUUGGGUUUAAAGGGAGCGUAGGCCGGAGAUUAAGCGUGUUGUGAAAUGUAGAUGCUCAACAUCUGCACUGCAGCGCGAACUGGUUUCCUUGAGUACGCACAAAGUGGGCGGAAUUCGUGGUGUAGCGGUGAAAUGCUUAGAUAUCACGAAGAACUCCGAUUGCGAAGGCAGCUCGCUGGAGCGCAACUGACGCUGAAGCUCGAAAGUGCGGGUAUCGAACAGGAUUAGGUACCCUGGUAGUCCGCACGGUAAACGAUGGAUGCCCGCUGUUGGUCUGAAUAGGUCAGCGGCCAAGCGAAAGCAUUAAGCAUCCACCUGGGGAGUACGCCGGCAACGGUGCAACUCAAAGGAAUUGACGG
Molecule: ribosomal RNA, 923 nt
Filed under: uncultured bacterium
Lineage: Bacteria
Also listed under: 1 other name
Description: bacterial SSU rRNA
Rfam family: Bacterial small subunit ribosomal RNA
Source: RNAcentral